RNAcentral lists this transfer RNA (69 nucleotides) under Ictidomys tridecemlineatus (thirteen-lined ground squirrel). Its description in RNAcentral is "Spermophilus tridecemlineatus (thirteen-lined ground squirrel) tRNA". It matches the Rfam family "tRNA". Rfam says of the family: Transfer RNA (tRNA) molecules are approximately 80 nucleotides in length. Their secondary structure includes four short double-helical elements and three loops (D, anti-codon, and T loops). The record is from Rfam by way of RNAcentral. Lineage: Eukaryota; Metazoa; Chordata; Mammalia; Rodentia; Sciuridae.
GGGGUUGUGGCUUAGUGGUAGAGCGCUUGCCUGGCAAGUGCAGGACCCUGGGUUUGAUCCUCAGCACCA